RNAcentral lists this ribosomal RNA (329 nucleotides) under uncultured bacterium. Its description in RNAcentral is "bacterial SSU rRNA". It matches the Rfam family "Bacterial small subunit ribosomal RNA", at positions 29 to 336 of the family's 1533-position model. The record is from RNAcentral.
AGCGAACGCUGGCGGCGUGCUUAACACAUGCAAGUCGAGCGGAGGUGUUUCAAGGGUAACCUUGAGAUACACUUAGCGGCGGACGGGUGAGUAAUACGUGGAUAACUUACCUCUAGGCCUGGGAUAACCCCGGGAAACUGGGGCUAAUACCUGAUAAGACCACAUUGUCUACGGACAAAGGGGUAAAAGGUGGCUGUGCAAACAGCUAUCGCCAAAAGAUAGGUUCACGUCCCAUCAGGCAGUUGGUGAGGUAAUGGCUCACCAAACCAAAGACGGUAGCCGGCCUUGGCCGGGUGAACGGCCACACGGGGACUGAGACACGGCCCGAC